UGGGGAAUAUUGCACAAUGGGGGAAACCCUGAUGCAGCGACGCCGCGUGAAGGAAGAAGUAUCUCGGUAUGUAAACUUCUAUCAGCAGGGAAGAUAGUGACGGUACCUGGACCUAAGAAGCCCCGGCUAACUACGUGCC
Molecule: ribosomal RNA, 139 nt
Filed under: uncultured bacterium
Lineage: Bacteria
Description: partial 16S ribosomal RNA
Rfam family: Bacterial small subunit ribosomal RNA
Source: RNAcentral